GACGAACGCUGGCGGCGUGCCUAAUACAUGCAAGUCGAGCGAACCAAUAAGAAGCUUGCUUUUUGUUGGUUAGCGGCGGACGGGUGAGUAACACGUGGGUAACCUGCCUGUAAGACCGGGAUAACUCCGGGAAACCGGUGCUAAUACCGGAUAGAUUAUCUUUCCGCAUGGAGAGAUAAGGAAAGAUGGCUAUUGCCAUCACUUACAGAUGGGCCCGCGGCGCAUUAGCUAGUUGGUGAGGUAACGGCUCACCAAGGCGACGAUGCGUAGCCGACCUGAGAGGGUGAUCGGCCACACUGGGACUGAGACACGGCCCAGACUCCUACGGGAGGCAGCAGUAGGGAAUCUUCCGCAAUGGACGAAAGUCUGACGGAGCAACGCCGCGUGAGCGAAGAAGGUCUUCGGAUCGUAAAGCUCUGUUGUUAGGGAAGAACAAGUAUCGGAGGAAAUGCCGGUACCUUGACGGGACCUGACGAGAAAGCCACGGCGAACUACGU
Molecule: ribosomal RNA, 497 nt
Filed under: uncultured bacterium
Lineage: Bacteria
Description: partial 16S ribosomal RNA
Rfam family: Bacterial small subunit ribosomal RNA
Source: RNAcentral